This 497-nucleotide ribosomal RNA is filed under the name uncultured bacterium. RNAcentral's name for it is "partial 16S ribosomal RNA". It matches the Rfam family "Bacterial small subunit ribosomal RNA", at positions 28 to 507 of the family's 1533-position model. The record is from RNAcentral.
GAUGAACGCUGGCGGCGUGCCUAAUACAUGCAAGUCGAGCGAACGGACGAGAAGCUUGCUUUUCUGAUGUUAGCGGCGGACGGGUGAGUAACACGUGGAUAACCUACCUAUAAGACUGGGAGAACUUCGGGAAACCGGAGCUAAUACCGGAUAAUAUUUUGAACCGCAUGGUUCAAAAGUGAAAGACGGUCUUGCUGUCACUUAUAGAUGGAUCCGCGCUGCAUUAGCUAGUUGGUAAGGUAACGGCUUACCAAGGCAACGAUGCAUAGCCGACCUGAGAGGGUGAUCCGCCACACUGGAACUGAGACACGGUCCAGACUCCUACGGGAGGCAGCAGUAGGGAAUCUUCCGCAAUGGGCGAAAGCCUGACGGAGCAACGCCGCGUGAGUGAUGAAGGUCUUCGGAUCGUAAAACUCUGUUAUUAGGGAAGAACAUAUGUGUAAGUAACUGUGCACAUCUUGACGGUACCUAAUCAGAAAGCCACGGCUAACUACGUG